Molecule: long non-coding RNA, 1776 nt
Organism: Raphanus sativus (radish)
Lineage: Eukaryota; Viridiplantae; Streptophyta; Magnoliopsida; Brassicales; Brassicaceae
Exons: 7
Source: RefSeq, a predicted model, not a curated record
GGUGUCUCUCUUUUCCUGCUGCCACCUCAGAUAAUAGGGCAAGGAGAGUUUGCCACGUGUCUUUUAAAUGAUGUUCUGCGUUUCGCUUUCGGCCUUUCUUUAGAUUUUGUGGGCUUUCUACUCAAUCCCGUUAUCCAGCCCGAUACACAGCAAGACCACAAGUUUUAAGGUUCCGGUUCUUCUUCCACAAUGAAUUAGACGUUCUCUUCGUUUUCUUAUACAUCUAUGGAGUUUUAAGAUGUUGAAUCGCUUUGUCAAUCGUCAAUCCUUACGUUUUUUUUCCUCUUCUAAUCAAUGGAAACGUUUCGGGAUCGGAGAUCUAUUCAAGACGAAUCGCGAUGACUAUGAUGAUGAUUCCCUGGAUCGAGAAGUCUUGGUGUUGUUUCAUCUCCGGUUCUUCUCCCCGGAAGUGGUGAUUUCACAUUCAAUGAAUCUUCCCUCUGUUCAAGGCGGUGCAUCUGGAGCUAUAAAAAGAAUGAAACAGAUACCAUGAAUGGUAAUUCAAGGACAGAAUCAGACACUGAGUCUUCAUCAAGUCUUGCGUCCCAAGACCUCCUUGCAGAUUAUUUGCUUCAGAGGUUCUAGAAAUCUGCAGCUUGAUAGAAAAACUCGGAACCUAACAUCACUUAGGAGAGGUGGUAACAGCAGACUCUUAUGACAUUACUGAUGCUGUGGAAACAUGAUUAAAGGAUAUUACUGAAGAAAACAAAUCUCAUCCUUGCCCAACAGAGUGGUUAUUCCGUGUUGAUAUUGUAAUUAAAUGGAAAGAGUCUUCAACGGUUUCAGUGCUGCUCAGAUUUUUAGAGAAUAUCAAGAUGUCUGAUACGGCCUUACUGGGGAGAAGAGCAUUGUAUUUAAGCCAAUAUACUUUGUUUUGGAUCUUCUGGAGAUUCCUUUGUGAAAAAAAGGAAUAUAAUUCUUUUGGUUCAAUGGAAAUUAGCUCAGAAGUACAGUGAGAAAGUGUUGAAGGAUGAAACCACCACAAAACAGUUCUGCUUAUAGUGCUGUUCUUUUCACGGACGCAAGCGUCAGCGGCUGCGGCCAAAAAUUAUCAAACAAGAGUUGAAAGCUGGCGUCGAACUGAAUCUAACCGCAUUUUGACAAGUCUUCUAAACGCAGUAGAAGAGCAAUCAAUCACAUGAGAAUUAAUCGCGUAGGGCAGAAAAGAAUGUCAUGUGGAAGAAGUUUCAUUGUAAAAACCAGGUCAUCUUCUACACUCAUGGGCGUAACAAGAAAAAGAAGAAGAAGAAGAAACCGGAACGUUAUCUUCUUGAUGGACACAGAAAGUUUAUUUAACCGAACUGUUUUUUCUAAGAAACAAGAUGAGAAGAAGGUGGUCAAGUAAGGUGAUGGAAUAAACAAGAUGAGAAGACCGAACUGUUUUUUCUAAGAAACAAGAUGAGAAGAAGGUGGUCAAGUAAAGGUGAUGGAAGAAACAAGAUGAGAAGAAGGUGGUCAAGUAAGGUGAUGGAAGAUCUAACUCCCAUUUUGGAGCUAGAAUAGGAGGAAGCUUUAUGCUUGGAUCAACAAGUUCUGCAACCAAGUCUCCACCCAUAACUGUAAACAAGACAAUCAGUUUUUCUGUUUUUUUUUUCAUUUAUUAUUUGAUCCUAAUAGUCCAGCAACUGCCGUUGCUAUUGACAAAACCUUUUCUUUUGUAUUUCUCAUUCACUAUAAAUUAAAAAAAAAACAAAUUUCUUCUUGAUUUUUCCUUGAUGUUACAGAUUAAAACAGAAGAUUUGUUCUGCUAUGUACAAGCAACUGUUACUUUUAUGU